UUGAGGAGGGUGACGGGCGGUGUGUGCGCAUUCUAGAGCUUAAUUUCAUCUUAUAUUUCUCUAUAAGUAUUACUAUCGAAUCCUCUUUCAUUAAUUUUUUCAAAAAAAAAUUCUCUAUUAUAAAGUAAAGUAGCUCAUCUAUUCCCAUUCCAUUGGCUGCACCUUGAUCUGACGUAAAGAAAAAAUUCUUUAAGCUCACUUUCUAAAAGAGGUGAACUGACGACGAUGGUAUACAAACUGUUUUUAUUUCUUGAAAUGGUGAGGUUCCUUGUGGGUUAUCAAUUCAAUGACAAGCUCCUCCGAGAAGGUUUAGAAAACCGCCAAGUUCUUUAAGUUUUAACCUUUUGGUCGUACUACUCUGGUGUUUAAAGGUUUACUGAUAGGUAUAGUGGGGUAUCUAAUCCCAGA
RNAcentral lists this ribosomal RNA (408 nucleotides) under Bathyplotes sp. 1 AKM-2016. Its description in RNAcentral is "partial 12S ribosomal RNA". The record is from RNAcentral. Lineage: Eukaryota; Metazoa; Echinodermata; Holothuroidea; Aspidochirotida; Synallactidae.